GACGAACGCUGGCGGCGUGCUUAACACAUGCAAGUCGAACGGCAAGGCCCUGCUUUUGUGCUCUGCUCGAUUGCCGAACGCGUGAGUAACACGUGUGUAACCUGCCCUUGACUUUGGUAUAACUUCACGUAACUGGGGCUACUACCGUAUAGGAUCUCCUGCUCCAUGGUGGGCGUUGGAAAGUUUCGGCGUUCGGGGAUGGACUGGCGGCUUAUCAGCUUGUUGGUUGGGUAGUGGCUUACCCAGCCUUUGACGGGUAGCCGGCAUGUGAGGGUGACCGGGGACAAUGGGACUGCGAGACGGCGCAGAGUGGUACGGGGGGCAGAAGUGGGGAGUAUUGCACAAUGGGCGGAAGCCUGAUGAAAAGGCGCCGCGGUCGGGAAGACGGCCUUCGGGUUGUGAACCGCUUUAGGCUGUGACGAAGCGUGAGUGACGGUAAUGGGUAAAGAAGCACCGGCUAACUACGUG
This 468-nucleotide ribosomal RNA is filed under the name uncultured bacterium. RNAcentral's name for it is "partial 16S ribosomal RNA". It matches the Rfam family "Bacterial small subunit ribosomal RNA", at positions 28 to 507 of the family's 1533-position model. The record is from RNAcentral.